Molecule: non-coding RNA, 100 nt
Organism: Pleurotus pulmonarius
Lineage: Eukaryota; Fungi; Basidiomycota; Agaricomycetes; Agaricales; Pleurotaceae
Source: the annotation of a GenBank genome assembly
UCCUCGUUGGCUCAGUUGGUAGAGCGCCUCACUAGUAUGUCCCACCCUAGCAUCCAGGCUGCUUAUGAGGAGGUCAGUCGUUCAAAUCGGCUACGAGGAA